GGCCAUAUGUACUGUAAAAGGUUGUACGAUACAUGUGCGAAUAGGUAAUUCGCAACUCGUGUCAAUUUAAAACACUCCCUUCGGUCGUGUUUUAAUUUAUCGCCACUCGUUACGAAUUUUCUAUUUUUCGCACUUGUAUCGUAAUGUACUAUUACAGUACAUAUGGUCCUAUUUUCCCGCACUAGUGCGUAAAAUAGCACUUUUCGU
Cydia splendana is the source of this 207-nucleotide long non-coding RNA. RefSeq lists it as uncharacterized. Lineage: Eukaryota; Metazoa; Arthropoda; Insecta; Lepidoptera; Tortricidae. The transcript is spliced from 2 exons. The record is from RefSeq and is a predicted model, not a curated record.